Molecule: long non-coding RNA, 845 nt
Organism: Tympanuchus pallidicinctus (lesser prairie-chicken)
Lineage: Eukaryota; Metazoa; Chordata; Aves; Galliformes; Phasianidae
Exons: 3
Source: RefSeq, a predicted model, not a curated record
UGUCAGGGCCACAUCAAGCUAAUUUUGUAGACGUGAAGCAGCCAGAUACCAAGUUGGGCAAAUGUCACUAGGUUACAGAUUCUUCAAUUUUUUCAUCUGAAGUAAGGCGGUUUUUCUUUGUUUCUUUUUAGGUCCGGUCUAUGGUUUUUAAGCUAGCAGUGUUUUUGCACGAUGCAUCUGAACGCUGAUUAUUAAUUUAACCUCCUAACUCAAGACAUUGCUGAGGUCAUUGCAAAACAAGUGCUACACUAGAGAUUUUCACUUGGUUAAACUCGAAUAUUGAAUUCUACCACUUGAAUCUUAAACAGCAUUGGCAGACAGUAUCUCAGUUGAAGAAUUUCUCCUCUGACUUCUGUGCAGAUACAAUUAAAUCAGGUACAUGUAAUGGUAACGUAAAGAUGAAAAACCAGAGUAUACACAUUGGACCUAGAAAACAGGGAGUCAUAAGGCAGAUAUUAGCAGCAAAAUGAGGUAAGUUACACUUAACAGUAACUAAUUUUUUUUUUUAAAUUAUCUAACAAAAAGAAAAAUGCUUCUGUGGGCUUUCAUGCAUGCAUAGUGAGCAAACAGACUGCCAGAGGACAAUUCUUGUUCAUUCUCUACUACAGUAAGUCAUUUUAGUGAAAUAUUUUUUGCCACUUACCACAUUCAAAGGUUUAAUGAGAUAUUAUCAAAAGACUUUAAUUCUAAUGAUACUAAAAAAUGGUGUGAGCAGAUUGGCAUAACAGGCACUGGUAUUUUGAAAUUUCAAGCAUCUUUUGGUCUGGAAAAUUUUAGUCCAUCACACAUUAUGAUAUAAUAAUCAAGAGUAAUAACUAGUUAAUAGCCUUGUUUGAAAAACGAGA